This 254-nucleotide ribosomal RNA is filed under the name uncultured bacterium. Its description in RNAcentral is "partial 16S ribosomal RNA". It matches the Rfam family "Bacterial small subunit ribosomal RNA", at positions 524 to 776 of the family's 1533-position model. The record is from RNAcentral.
CACGUAGGGGGCGAGCGUUGUCCGGAUUUAUUGGGCGUAAAGAGCUCGUAGGCGGCUCAGUAAGUCGGGUGUGAAAUUUCAGGGCUCAACCCUGAAACGCCACCCGAUACUGCUGUGGCUAGAGUCCGGUAGGGGUGCGUGGAAUUCCUGGUGUAGCGGUGAAAUGCGCAGAUAUCAGGAGGAACACCAGCGGCGAAGGCGGCGCUCUGGGCCGGAACUGACGCUGAGGAGCGAAAGCAUGGGUAGCGAACAGG